Molecule: long non-coding RNA, 339 nt
Organism: Pipra filicauda (Wire-tailed manakin)
Lineage: Eukaryota; Metazoa; Chordata; Aves; Passeriformes; Pipridae
Exons: 2
Source: RefSeq, a predicted model, not a curated record
GAGUGGAGGCGAGUUGUGCUUCCUGCUGGGAGAGAGAAGGGCCUUGGGAAGCUGCUCCAUGAGCCACAGCUGUGCCGAGCCCGGGAGUCUGUCCAGCAGGAUGUCGAGUGCCACCAUGUCCCCGAGGUCACCCUUUCUGCUGUUGGGAGAGCACGAGGUGGAUGGAGAGGAUCCCCAGGCAUCUGCAGGCACAAGGGACUCGUACAACUGCGAUUUUCCUCCAGCCCUCGUGAGAGGGACUUUUAGGAUCCUCUUGGGAAUGUGCCAGUUCUCCUGCUGGAGCUUUUCUAUGGAAUAUUUGAACACAAAGAGUAAAACUAAAGUCAGGUUUGUUCUGGA